UGGGGAAUAUUGCACAAUGGGGGAAACCCUGAUGCAGCGACGCCGCGUGAGCGAAGAAGGCUUUCGAGUCGUAAAGCUCUGUCCUAUGAGAAGAUAAUGACGGUAUCAUAGGAGGAAGCCCUGGCUAAAUACGUGCCAGCAGCCGCGGUAAUACGUAUGGGGCGAGCGUUGUCCGGAAUUAUUGGGCGUAAAGGGUACGUAGGUGGUUUUUUAAGUCAGGUGUCAAAGCGUGGAGCUUAACUCCAUUAAGCACUUGAAACUGAAAGACUUGAGUGAAGGAGAGGAAAGUGGAAUUCCUAGUGUAGCGGUGAAAUGCGUAGAUAUUAGGAGGAAUACCGGUGGCGAAGGCGACUUUCUGGACUUUUACUGACGCUCAGGUACGAAAGCGUGGGGAGCAAACAUG
RNAcentral lists this ribosomal RNA (403 nucleotides) under Verrucomicrobiota bacterium. RNAcentral describes it as "Verrucomicrobia bacterium partial 16S ribosomal RNA". It matches the Rfam family "Bacterial small subunit ribosomal RNA", at positions 355 to 776 of the family's 1533-position model. The record is from RNAcentral. Lineage: Bacteria; Pseudomonadati; Verrucomicrobiota.